This 301-nucleotide ribosomal RNA is filed under the name uncultured bacterium. Its description in RNAcentral is "partial 16S ribosomal RNA". It matches the Rfam family "Bacterial small subunit ribosomal RNA", at positions 509 to 808 of the family's 1533-position model. The record is from RNAcentral.
CAGCCGCCGCGGUAAUACGUAGGUGGCAAGCGUUGUCCGGAAUUAUUGGGCGUAAAGCGCGCGCAGGCGGUUUCUUAAGUCUGAUGUGAAAGCCCCCGGCUUAACCGGGGAGGGUCAUUGGAAACUGGGAGACUUAGAGUGCAGAAGAGGAGAGUGGAAUUCCACGUGUAGCGGUGAAAUGCGUAGAGAUGUGGAGGAACACCAGUGGCGAAGGCGACUCUCUGGUCUGUAACUGACGCUGAGGAGCGAAAGCGUGGGGAGCGAACAGGAUUAGAUACCCCUGUAGUCCCUGUCUCUUAUA